RNAcentral lists this ribosomal RNA (245 nucleotides) under uncultured Vampirovibrio sp. Its description in RNAcentral is "partial 16S ribosomal RNA". It matches the Rfam family "Bacterial small subunit ribosomal RNA", at positions 524 to 768 of the family's 1533-position model. The record is from RNAcentral. Lineage: Bacteria; Bacillati; Candidatus Melainabacteria; Vampirovibriophyceae; Vampirovibrionales; Vampirovibrionaceae.
GACGUAGGAUGCGAGCGUUGUCCGGAUUUAUUGGGCGUAAAGAGUUCGUAGGUGGUUUGUUAAGUCUGAUGUUAAAGAUUGGGGCUCAACCCUGAAAAUGCAUUGGAUACUGGCAGACUUGAGUGUGGUAGAGGCUAGUGGAAUUCCCAGUGUAGCGGUGAAAUGCGUAGAUAUUGGGAAGAACACCGGUGGCGUAGGCGACUAGCUGGGCCAUAACUGACACUGAGGAACGAAAGCCAGGGUAG